RNAcentral lists this ribosomal RNA (172 nucleotides) under uncultured bacterium. RNAcentral describes it as "partial 16S ribosomal RNA". It matches the Rfam family "Bacterial small subunit ribosomal RNA", at positions 694 to 863 of the family's 1533-position model. The record is from RNAcentral.
AUAUCAAGAGGAACACCUGCGGGGAAGGCGGGUUGCUGGGCCGACACUGACGCUGAGGCGCGAAAGCNAGGGGAGCGAACNGGAUUAGAUACCCCGGUAGUCCUGGCCUUAAACGAUGAAUGCUUGNUGUCUGGGGUUAUANAGUCCCCGGGUGCCGUCGCUAACGCUUUAA